CUCGCCCGGCUGGUGGCUGGCUAACAAAAGAGCAGCUGCUGCUCCCCUCCCUCCGCCCCCUCCCUCCCGGGCUCAGACACACCCGGACAGCGCUUGGGGCAGAUCCCUGACUACAGUUCCCAGGAAUGUUAGCAGCGGACUCGGGUUGGUUGGAGCCAAGAUUGCUGGCAGGAUCUCAGGAGUCUGAGAGGGUCUGAACUGGAGUUGCCUGUGCAGCCGGCAGCAGCAGAAAUGCCCUUAAAAAGGGAAAGGAGAGACGCCAAGGAGAGAACCAGUGCCUGUGCCAGGAGCAUGCAACUCCCAAGAGGUUUCACCAAAGCACGAACUAGGUUUGUUGACUGGUUGAGUGGUAGAAACAGACAGCCGUGUGUGAGGCCAGGAGAAGAUCAGCAUCACCUCUACGAUAUCAGAAGCAGCUGCAGAAAACUCAUGGAAUCUCUGAUCCCACCAGGUUUAUAAUCUUGCAGCAGCAAAGUGUGAGGCCAAGAGAAGACCAGCAUCAUCUACGAUAUCAUGAGCAGCUGCAGAAAACUCAUGGAAUCUCUGAUCCCACCAGGUUUAUAAUCUUGCAGCAGCAAAGUGUGAGGCCAAGAGAAGACCAGCAUCAUCUACGAUAUCAUGAGCAGCUGCAGAAAACUCAUGGAAUCUCUGAUCUCACCAGGUUUAUAAUCUUGCAGCAGCAAAGUCUGCUAGGCAUUCUCCAAUAUCCAUUCUUCUCUCCCUCCAUAAUAAGAGUUUUAGGUGGAAACAUGGUUGCUCAGCUAAAGACUACAUUUCCCUGCUUCCCUUGCAGCCAGGGUGGUCAUGUGACUGAAUUUUGGCAGGUGAAGUAUAAGCAGAAGUUAUUUCUGUCCUCUUAAUUGGGUGUGUGCUCCCCUGUCUCCCUUUCCAAUUUCCUAUCAACUGGAAGAUCACAAAAGCUAAAGCAGCUUGGGAAUUAAAGAUGGAAUCUGUGCAAAGAGAAUGGUAGAGCCUCCCUAAAAGCUCUGGAUUGCUGACCAUCAGGCAAAUAAACCUCUAUUUUGUCUAAGCCA
This is a long non-coding RNA of Sus scrofa (pig), 1034 nucleotides long. RefSeq lists it as uncharacterized. The record is from RefSeq and is a predicted model, not a curated record. Lineage: Eukaryota; Metazoa; Chordata; Mammalia; Artiodactyla; Suidae.